GACGAACGCUGGCGGCGUGCUUAACACAUGCAAGUCGAACGGAAAGGCCCUGCUUUUGUGGGGUGCUCGAGUGGCGAACGGGUGAGUAACACGUGAGUAACCUGCCCUUGACUUUGGGAUAACUUCAGGAAACUGGGGCUAAUACCGGAUAGGAGCUCCUGCUGCAUGGUGGGGGUUGGAAAGUUUCGGCGGUUGGGGAUGGACUCGCGGCUUAUCAGCUUGUUGGUGGGGUAGUGGCUUACCAAGGCUUUGACGGGUAGCCGGCCUGAGAGGGUGACCGGCCACAUUGGGACUGAGAUACGGCCCAGACGCCUACGGGAGGCAGCAGUGGGGAAUAUAGCACAAUGGGCGGAAGCCUGAUGCAGCAACGCCGCGUGCGGGAGGACGGCCUUCGGGUUGUAAACCGCUUUCGCCUGUGACGAAGCGUGAGUGACGGUAAUGGGUAAAGAAGCACCGGCUAACUACGU
Molecule: ribosomal RNA, 467 nt
Filed under: uncultured bacterium
Lineage: Bacteria
Description: partial 16S ribosomal RNA
Rfam family: Bacterial small subunit ribosomal RNA
Source: RNAcentral